AGAUAUGCCUGAGUAAGCCAAAGCAAUUAACUGGGCUAAAGGGUAAGAACUAAUAGUUGAUAGGAGGCUUUAGAGUAAGAAGCUAUUAUUCCUAGUGUCUGAUAUUUUAUUGUUAAACCAAGACGAGCUUUGAAGAGGAACUUUUCUACUUUCUACACUUGUGAAGUUAGAAGCAACAUCAAGAGCAACCUGAGAGGAUCCCAUGCCGGGACAGGUGUGACUACAACAGAAUGAGAGCAAGAGACAGUGACAGCAGAUGAAGUCUGAGAACAGCUACCAGAUGGAGUUUCACUCUUGUUGCCCAAGCUGGAGUGCAAUGGCGCGAUCUUGGCUGACCGCAACUUACACCUCCCAGGUUCAAGUGAUUCUGCUGCCUCAGCCUCCUGAGUAACUGGGAUCACAG
This is a long non-coding RNA of Pan troglodytes (chimpanzee), 403 nucleotides long. RefSeq lists it as uncharacterized. The transcript has 3 exons. Lineage: Eukaryota; Metazoa; Chordata; Mammalia; Primates; Hominidae. The record is from RefSeq and is a predicted model, not a curated record.